This 333-nucleotide unclassified non-coding RNA is filed under the name soil metagenome. Its description in RNAcentral is "partial contains 5.8S ribosomal RNA, internal transcribed spacer 2, and large subunit ribosomal RNA". The stretch from base 1 to 120 matches the Rfam family "5.8S ribosomal RNA", at positions 35 to 154 of the family's 154-position model. The record is from RNAcentral.
GAUGAAGAACGCAGCGAAAUGCGAUAAGUAGUGUGAAUUGCAGAAUUCAGUGAAUCAUCGAAUCUUUGAACGCACAUUGCGCCCCUUGGUAUUCCAUGGGGCAUGCCUGUUCGAGCGUCAUUUGUACCUUCAAGCUUGCUUGGUGUUGGGUGUUUGUCCAUUCUCUUGCAGAGGGACUCGCCUUAAAGUAAUUGGCAGCCAGUGUUUUGGUUUUGAAGCGCAGCACAAGUCGCGAUUCAAAGCUAUACGCCCGCUUCCACAAGCCUUUUUCACUUUUGACCUCGGAUCAGGUAGGGAUACCCGCUGAACUUAAGCAUAUCAAUAAGCGGAGGA